This 483-nucleotide ribosomal RNA is filed under the name uncultured bacterium. RNAcentral's name for it is "partial 16S ribosomal RNA". It matches the Rfam family "Bacterial small subunit ribosomal RNA", at positions 28 to 523 of the family's 1533-position model. The record is from RNAcentral.
GACGAACGCUGGCGGCGUGCUUAACACAUGCAAGUCGAACGAUGAAGCUGGAGCUUGCUCCGGUGGAUUAGUGGCGAACGGGUGAGUAACACGUGAGCAAUCUGCCCUUGACUCUGGGAUAACUGUGGGAAACUGUAGCUAAUACCGGAUACGAGGCUCGAAGGCAUCUUCGGGUCUGGAAAGAAUUUCGGUCAAGGAUGAGCUCGCGGCCUAUCAGCUUGUUGGUGAGGUAAUGGCUCACCAAGGCGACGACGGGUAGCCGGCCUGAGAGGGUGACCGGCCACACUGGGACUGAGACACGGCCCAGACUCCUACGGGAGGCAGCAGUAGGGAAUAAUGAACAAUGGGCGAAAGCCUGAUGCGGCAACGCCGCGUGAGGGAUGAAGGCCUUCGGGUUGUAAACCUCUUUUAGCAGGGAAGAAGCGAAAGUGACGGUACCUGCAGAAAAAGCACCGGCUAACUACGUGCCAGCAGCCGCGGUAA